This is a long non-coding RNA of Salvelinus fontinalis (brook trout), 2540 nucleotides long. RefSeq lists it as uncharacterized. The record is from RefSeq and is a predicted model, not a curated record. NCBI's taxonomy places the organism in Eukaryota, Metazoa, Chordata, Actinopteri, Salmoniformes, Salmonidae. The transcript has 3 exons.
AUUCCAUGAGAAACGCUCUGGGUAAAUUCAGACAGUUUCGCUCUGGUUUAUAUUAUUUGGUUUAUAUUGCCCAUUCAUUGUCAGUUAGAGACAGUAGUGCAUUGGGACCCAAAAGCAUAAUCAGUGCUCUAACUCCCCCUUGGUCGUUAAGGCACAUCUGGUCUGUGAUAAACCCCUGUCCUUUCACACCUAGCUCGGCUUAUUAGACUAUUCUUGAGUAAAGGUUGAAUAGUCUAUUGUUCAGCUAUUAGCACCCUCCCAAACUUGCAACAAAUGGAUGUCUUUUUGUCGAGAGCAAAGCUUUUUUAUUUAAGUCGAAAAUAAUUUUUCGGAAAGUAACUUUAUUUUCAAUCAAAUAUAAUUCUUCUGAAAGCUAAAACGGGGCUUCACAGUAAAACAAAACAAAUGUUUUCAAUUAAAUAUUUAAUAAUAGAGCGUAAACUUUUAUGCAUUUUAUUCCCCAAAAAUAUUUCGCUGUCAACCAUUUUGGCCAUUUUUUGAGUGUCCGUUUGGCUACAACCAAUACUGUUCAAUAAAGCCUUUCUCUCCGACACAAAGGAAGUCAUAGCGGACACCUACGAAGAAGGACUGUGUGAUGAUGGCAUCUCAGGUAAGCAGCACUGGGCGUUCUUCCGUCCAACUUUUACAUAGCUAGUAGUUAGCUCCUACGAUUCAGUGUCGUUCAUAACAUUGUACUAUAUAACAUAGAUACAUACAUACCGUAGAAUGAUUAAUCAUGCAAUUAUUAUUCUCAAGCUAGCCAAAGCAUUUAGCUAUGAACGCCUGUUCUCGCCAUUUUCAGUUGAAUUAAUCUAACUUUAUUUCAUGGCAACUCAUAAGCAGGCCAUGUCAUAUUUGUUUCAUAGUCGAUAUAUAAUCAUAUUUCACGACAGUGUAACGGUUAGUUUUAUUUACAGAAAGAUAAAAGAAAACAAUAUGUCUGUCAGGGAAUGCUAUUUUGAUGUCAGAUGAAGAGUUAGACCAGAAAGUCAGUGACAUUAGGGCAAGGAUGCCCCAUGCGGGCUUUAGAAUGGUCAAAGGAAGUCUCAGAGCAAAGGACCAUCGUGUACAAUGGCGAAGAGGCUUCGCGGCGUGUAGAUGGUGCAGGUAUCAUUGCCAGAAUGAUCCAGCUUCGUUGCAUUGCUCUGCAAAAAUACUCUGAUCCUGCUCCCCUGUCUCUCGUCCACAUUGAUACAAAUCAUAAAUUGAUAAGGUACUAAAAUGUAUAAUGUCUCCAUCAAAUCUAAGAAGUUAUUUUUACUUUUUUAGUCUUACUUAUUUGUAGACCAAUGUUCAAUGAUGUAUGAAAUGGGAGUUGUUCUUCAUCAACUGGUAAUACAUAAAUAAUGAAGCAGGUUAAUAGGUUAAACAUUUCACUUUUAAUUCCAAUGCUUUUUUCCCAAGAUACAACAUUGUCAUCUUUAGCGGUAUAGAUGGAUUUUCAAGGAAGGUAAGUAUAGUAUUGUGUAUACAUAUUGCAUUUUUCCCAUCACCUAUUGAACAACCACAAUACCAGUCUGGUUUUAAGCCUUCUGUGCUGUAUUGACGUAUCCUGAAAAUGACAUCUGCUGCUUUAGAUUGAACGGUCGGUCAUAUCUCAGUUAUUGUUUACAAAUCUACAAAAAAUAAGCUGUUUUCUUUACUUUCAGAGUACGAGCUGAUCAAGGGGUCGAAAAUGUAGAUAUUGCCAGAUGUUCACUGUCCGAGGAACAGGCUGUGGAAGCUUUAUUGCUGGCAAAAGUGACCAUAACCUGAGGUAAUUAAACUGUUCUGUGUUCUUUUUCUCUCUUCCUCUCUGCCUGUCUUGUUGUACAUGGAACCUGUCUCACAUGCACAGUUUUGAAGAAGAAGGAUACCUUGACCUGUCGAAUUCUAUCCACCUCUUCUGUGUGGGAUGUGUUCCUGCCUCGUCUGCGGGCAGAUCUGCAGCAUUUCACAGAGUUGGAAUGAUCACCCUUUAAGUACAGAGGCGAACCUAAGACCUCACCAGCUGUGGCAUAUCGGAAUGCUCCAAACACCUGUGCACAUUUUUGUUUUUGCCUUAGCACUACACUGCUGAUUCAAACGAUCAAGUCAUCAUCAAGCUACAAGUGGUGAUAUCAGCUGUGUCGGUGAACCCCUCCCGCAUCUGAACUGGCUGACACAGAGGGCAAAGCAUGAUCAGAGGUAUGUUUUGAGGUGAGAGAGGAAGCCAGUCCCGUCAUCUCCACCUCACCUGCUCUUAAGAUAACUUUCGGGCUGACUGGGAGCCCAAGGCUGGUUAGGAGACAAUAUGUAAUUGUGAUGAACUGAGAGAAUAUUAGGGUAGCACUGUAAUUCAUGAAUCAUAUGCUGUCUGCCUCUGUUCUUACCUCUUUCCCUUUCUGUCUUCUACACCUCGUCUUUCUUACUCGUUUUAUAAUGCACACCAUAUGUGCAUUGAAGUACAGAGUGAACUUGUAUUUAUAAUAUAACAUUACAAUUAUCAUAAUUAUAAUGCAUGUAUUAUGUAUUUCAAACACCUGGAUAAUGAACUUCUUUCAAUAAAGCGUUUCACAUUC